Molecule: ribosomal RNA, 253 nt
Filed under: uncultured bacterium
Lineage: Bacteria
Description: partial 16S ribosomal RNA
Rfam family: Bacterial small subunit ribosomal RNA
Source: RNAcentral
UACAGAGACUGCAAGCGUUAUUCGGAUUCACUGGGCGUAAAGGGUGCGCAGGCGGCCGUGUGUGUGAGGCGUGAAAGCCCGGGGCUCAACCCCGGAAUUGCACCUCAAACUACAUGGCUAGAGCAUUGGAGAGGGUAGCGGAAUUCCUGGUGUAGCGGUGAAAUGCGUAGAUAUCAGGAGGAACACCUGCGGUGUAGACGGCUUUCUGGACCAUUGCUGACGCUGAGACACGAAAGCGUGGGUAGCAAACAGG